RNAcentral lists this ribosomal RNA (823 nucleotides) under uncultured bacterium. RNAcentral's name for it is "bacterial SSU rRNA". It matches the Rfam family "Bacterial small subunit ribosomal RNA", at positions 8 to 816 of the family's 1533-position model. The record is from RNAcentral.
AGAGUUUGAUCCUGGCUCAGGAUGAACGCUAGCGACAGGCUUAACACAUGCAAGUCGAGGGGCAGCGGUGGUGAAGGCUUGCCUUCACCCAGCCGGCGACCGGCGCACGGGUGAGUAACACGUAUGCAACCUGCCUGCCACAGCCGGAUAAUCGGGAGAAAUCCCGUCUAAUACGGCAUAAUGCAUCGACGGGACAUCCUGUUGGUGCCAAAGGUUAAUUCCGGUGGCGGAUGGGCAUGCGUCGCAUUAGUUAGUUGGCGGUGUAACGGACCACCAAGACGACGAUGCGUAGGGGUUCUGAGAGGAAGGUCCCCCACACUGGUACUGAGACACGGACCAGACUCCUACGGGAGGCAGCAGUGAGGAAUAUUGGUCAAUGGGCGGGAGCCUGAACCAGCCAAGUCGCGUGAGGGAUGACGGCUCUAUGGGUUGUAAACCUCUUUUGCCGGGGAGCAAAGUGCCGCACGUGUGCGGUUUGGAGAGUACCCGGAGAAAAAGCAUCGGCUAACUCCGUGCCAGCAGCCGCGGUAAUACGGAGGAUGCGAGCGUUAUCCGGAUUUAUUGGGUUUAAAGGGUGCGUAGGCGGACGCUUAAGUCAGCGGUAAAAUUGCGGGGCUCAACCUCGUCGAGCCGUUGAAACUGGGUGCCUUGAGUGGGCGAGAAGUACGCGGAAUGCGUGGUGUAGCGGUGAAAUGCAUAGAUAUCACGCAGAACUCCGAUUGCGAAGGCAGCGUACCGGCGCCCAACUGACGCUGAAGCACGAAGGCGUGGGUAUCGAACAGGAUUAGAUACCCUGGUAGUCCACGCAGUAAACGAUGAAUGC